Molecule: ribosomal RNA, 400 nt
Filed under: Desmodora sp. 42L27G15
Lineage: Eukaryota; Metazoa; Nematoda; Chromadorea; Desmodorida; Desmodoridae
Description: SSU rRNA
Rfam family: Eukaryotic small subunit ribosomal RNA
Source: RNAcentral
CUUGUCUCAAAGAUUAAGCCAUGCAUGUCUAAGCAUGAGCUGAAUAAUGGGAAGCCGCGAAUGGCUCAUUACAACAGCCGUUGUUUCUUGGAUCUUGUUUUACUUGGAUAACUGUGGUAAUUCUAGAGCUAAUACAUGCAGCGAAGCUUCGACCUUACGGGAGGAGCGCAUUUAUUAGACCAAGACCAAUCAGGCUUCGGCCUGUCUUCUGGUGACUCUGAAUAACUUUGCUGAUCACACGGUCCUCGCACCGGUGACAUAUCUUUCAAGUGUCUGCCCUAUCAACUGUCGAUGGUAGUUUAUGUGCCUACCAUGGUUGUAACGGGUAACGGAGAAUAAGGGUUCGACUCCGGAGAGGGAGCCUGAGAAAUGGCUACCACAUCCAAGGAAGGCAGCAGGC